AGGGCGCACGGCGGAUGCCUUGGCACAGGAAGUCGAAGAAGGACGCGGCAAGCUGCGAUAAGCUCCGGGGAGGCGCAAACGGCCUUCGAUCCGGAGAUCUCCGAAUGGGGGAACCCAGCAGGGGUCAUGCCCUGCUACCCGCGCCUGAAUGAAAUAGGGCGCGAGGAGGCAACCCGGGGAACUGAAACAUCUAAGUACCCGGAGGAAGAGAAAUCAACCGAGAUUGCGGGAGUAGCGGCGAGCGAAACCGCACCAGCCCAAACCCAUGCACGUGCAAGCUUGAGGGCGUUGCUGCAUGAGGGGUUGUGGGACCGCGCAUUCCAUGGGCCUCAGACCAUGGACGCAGUUACAAAUCCGCGCGGAAGCGGAACGGCCUGGGAAGGCCGGCGGAACAGGGUGAGAGCCCCGUACGCGAAUCCGCGCGGACUGCGAGUGCGGCACCCGAGUAGCGCCGGGCACGUGAAACCCGGUGCGAACCUGGGGGGACCACCCUCCAAGGCUGAACACUCUCCUGUGACCGAUAGCGAACCAGUACCGUGAGGGAAAGGUGAAAAGCACCCCGAGAGGGGAGUGAAACAGUACCUGAAACCGUGCGCCUACAAGCAGUCGGAGCCCCCGAGCGGGGUGACGGCGUGCCUUUUGUAGAAUGAGCCAGCGAGUUGCGGUAUGCGGCGAGGUUAAGGUUUGAACCGAGCCGCAGUGAAAGCGAGCCUUUAAGAUGGCGAUAGAGUCGCAUGCUGCAGACGCGAAGCCGGGUGAGCUAUCCAUGGGCAGGCUGAAGCGGGGGUAAGACCCCGUGGAGGGCCGAACCCACUUCGGUUGAAAACGGAGGGGAUGACCCGUGGAUAGGGGUGAAAGGCCAAUCAAACCCGGAGAUAUCUCGUUCUCCCCGAAAUAGCUUUAGGGCUAGCCUCGGCCGUUCUCCGACGGCGGUAGAGCACUGGAUCGUCGAGGGGGCUUCACCGCCUACCGACACGAACCAAACUCCGAAUGCCGCCGGAUCAGAGGCCGGGAGUCAGAACAUGUGGGCUAAGCUGUGUGUUCGAGAGGGAAACAGCCCAGACCGCCCGCUAAGGUCCCCAAGUUUAUGCUGAGUGGCAAAGGAUGUGCGUUUGCCUAGACAACCAGGAUGUUGGCUUAGAAGCAGCCAUGCAUUUAAAGAGUGCGUAACAGCUCACUGGUCAAGUGGACAUGCGCCGACAAUUCACGGGGCUAAGCAUAACACCGAAGCGGCGGACUAAUCUAUAUUAGUGGUAGGGGAGCUUUCCCCGCAGCGGAGAAGCCGAGAGGGCGACCCUCGGUGGAGCGCGGGGAAGUGAGAAUGCUGGCAUGAGUAACGAGAGCGGCGCGAGAAACGCCGCCGCCGUAAGCCUAAGGGUUCCUGGGCAAGGCUAAUCCUCCCAGGGUCAGUCGGGAGCUAAGGCGAGGCCGAGAGGCGUAGCCGAUGCGCAACAGGCGGACAUUCCUGUACCGCCUGCGGACCGCUAUCACCGACGGGGUGACGGAGAAGGGUAGCCGAGCGGGGUUCUGGACGUCCCCGUGAAAGCGCGUAGGGAGCAUCGCAUGGAAAUCAGCGGCGCAUAUAUCCUGAGACGCGAGACGAAAGCUUAUGCUGAAGUCGGCGAGCCCAUGCUUCCGAGAAAAACCUCUAGGAAGGGACGCAGGCGCCCGUACCAAAACCGACACAGGUGGGCAGGUAGAGCAUACCGAGGCGAUCGGGAGAACCAUGGUUAAGGAACUCGGCAUACUGACUCCGUAACUUCGGGAGAAGGAGUGCCCCUGGCGGUGGAGGGACUAGCUCCCCGAGCGGCCGGGGGUCGCAGCGAAACGGCCCAAGCGACUGUUUAUCAAAAACACAGGACUCUGCAAAGCCGUAAGGCGACGUAUAGGGUCUGACGCCUGCCCGGUGCUGGAAGGUUACGCGGAUGGGUCAGCCGAAAGGCGAAGCUCUGAAGCCAAGCCCCAGUAAACGGCGGCCGUAACUAUAACGGUCCUAAGGUAGCGAAAUUCCUUGUCGGGUAAGUUCCGACCUGCACGAAUGGCGUAACGAUUUGGGCGCUGUCUCAACCAUGGACCCGGUGAAAUUGUAUUAUUCGUGAAGAUGCGAAUUACCUGCGGAAGGACGGAAAGACCCCGUGAACCUUUACUGCAGCUUGACAUUGAUCGUUGGCUCGGCGCGUAGAGGAUAGGCAGGAGGCUGCGAAGCCCGGGCGCCAGCCCGGGCGGAG
Molecule: ribosomal RNA, 2228 nt
Filed under: human gut metagenome
Description: bacterial LSU rRNA
Rfam family: Bacterial large subunit ribosomal RNA
Source: RNAcentral